UAGGGCUGACCUCGAACAAAGAAAUUCUUAUUUGAGUAACACUUAUAUGAUUUUGUCGACUAAUCCAUUAAAUCAACUAAUCGAUUAGUCGA
Sebastes umbrosus (honeycomb rockfish) is the source of this 92-nucleotide long non-coding RNA. RefSeq lists it as uncharacterized. The record is from RefSeq and is a predicted model, not a curated record. NCBI's taxonomy places the organism in Eukaryota, Metazoa, Chordata, Actinopteri, Perciformes, Sebastidae. The transcript has 3 exons.